CUGAGGAGCGUGCUGGAAGGUGGCACCGGAGCCCGGACCGUACACUACAGUGGGCCGGCUACCGGCGAGGUCCUGCGCGAAGCCACAUUCAUAAUAAUUUGGACGUAACGAGUCGCCGCUUUUAUAUUUGGAAAAGAGCGAGAGAAAGAGCACCAGACGGAGAGAGACGGAGGGGAGGGAGAGAGUGAGCGAGAGUCUGUUGUGGUGUUCCCCCUCACGGCCACAACUGACGAGCUGAUCUCGGUGACGACAAGCUGCCGGAGCGGGACCAUGAGACAAUGCCGCCGCCGCAAAAACAACAACUUUCACACCGAUUCCAUGAAAUAUCCAGCGAUGAAGAAACCAGAGAAAGGGAAGUGGAGGAGGAAAGGCGAGCGAGCAUCACAAUUCCGGCUAUAGCGUUGAAAUCUGGAGCGCUGUCUUGCUCUCAAACGGCUUUUCUGUGAUUUACUCUUCUGCAAAUGACUUGUUUCAUAUUCUCUCUCUCCCCUCUCACACAUACACACACACACGCUCACUCUCUCUCCAUCCCCCCUCUCCCUGUCUCCCUCUGUAGUAUGUGUGUUUCAGGAUAAUUUGCAUCUAUUAUCAGCUCUUCGUCCCAUUGGCUUCUCUGUGCACGAACAAACAUGCACGAGCGUGCGCACACUCACUGCACUUCCCCGCUGGCGUCGGCUGGCGCGCGUCUAAUGCAAAGAGAGCUGGAGGAUGGAGAGAUCGAAGAAGGGAGAAUGAAGCGAAGUAUGUGUGUGCGUGUGCUUGUGUUUAUGCGCGCGCCCGCGUGUGUGUUAAUAAAAGUUUUAACCAAUGCAUAGCACACACAUCUCAUAUGCGGUCUGAAAAUUAUAAUUGAAGGAAGAUAAGAGGUUGCAUUCUAUGCAUUGCAUCAUUAAGAACACCACGUCCCCAUUAAUUACCAAGCACUUCUUUCCCUCUCCCAUGCAUGUGUCAGUCUAAGUGUGGCUUUGGAAAUAAACGAGCCGCGGGAUCUGGACGAUGCGUUCUGAUCAUUUUAUAAAUAUGAUCUUCAUAUACAUGCGAGGAGAGGUGGGUGGUUGGGUAAUAAACGCUAGAAUCGGCUGUAAACAGUUUAAGCAACUAUAAAGUCCCAUAAAGCUGACGCGGUGGUGUUUGCUUGUUUACGUCCUCACAACAGAGAAGCACAAAGAGGGGUUAUGAGCGCCCUUUUGCGAGAGCGAAGGCCGUAAAUGCCCUUAACCGAGUAAGAAUACCGCGGGUUUUAAUUGUCAUUUCGUCAUACAGAUGUCGCCCCUCCUGUCGAGGUGUGGACAAAGGGAUGCUUUUUAACGAGGGUUAAGUUGUAGGAUGGCUUUCGUUUAGAUCUUCUGACUUGAUAGG
Long non-coding RNA from Syngnathus acus (greater pipefish), 1359 nucleotides. RefSeq lists it as uncharacterized. Lineage: Eukaryota; Metazoa; Chordata; Actinopteri; Syngnathiformes; Syngnathidae. The record is from RefSeq and is a predicted model, not a curated record. The transcript is spliced from 2 exons.